Molecule: long non-coding RNA, 230 nt
Organism: Mytilus trossulus (common blue mussel)
Lineage: Eukaryota; Metazoa; Mollusca; Bivalvia; Mytilida; Mytilidae
Exons: 3
Source: RefSeq, a predicted model, not a curated record
GGUGCAUAUCUCUGGGAACCAAAUACGGCGGAGGAAGUAAGUGCUGUUGCAACAGCGCUACUAGAUAGCAGUGGUGAUAGAUUUUGGACAGGUGCUACUGAUCAGGGAAACGAAGAUAUGCCUUCUUUUGUACUUGGUUCUGGACUUUCGUUUACUCAAACGGCUGGCAGUGAUGGUCCAAACUCUGACUGUGUUGCAUAUGAACCAACUAACUUUAUCUACAGAACAUG